Solanum lycopersicum (tomato) is the source of this 3856-nucleotide non-coding RNA. The record is from RefSeq and is a predicted model, not a curated record. Lineage: Eukaryota; Viridiplantae; Streptophyta; Magnoliopsida; Solanales; Solanaceae.
UCACUAAUUAAAAAGGAAUUUAACUUUAAUCAAACCUUUUUUUUCACCAAUUUUAAUUUGAAGACAAUUGUCACCUCCUCCUCAAUUUUCUAACUUUCUCAGUCUCCAUUUUUGUGCUUAACCCAUCUCCCAAAUUACUCUUCUCUACCCCCUCAUCGACCAUGAAUGCACUCUUACAGACUCAAAAACCCAGAACAAUUCGCUUUCGUUUAAGCAAUCGAGCAGACAAGGCCAACCCCAUCUCGCCCGCCAACUGUUCGAUACAAUUCCUCAACCAUCAACUCUCCUUUGGAACACAACAAUAAUUGGGUUUAUCUGUAAUGACAUGCCCCAUGAAGCCAUUUCAUACUAUGCUCGACUGAAACAUGUGGGUUCAUCCGUUAAAUGAUCAAUAUACUUAUUCCUCUGUUCUCAAGGCUUGCGCGGAUUCCAAAGGGAUUCUUGUAGGUAAAGCUGUGCAUUGCCACAUUCUGCGUUCUGGGAUUCAUACUAGUAGGAUUGUUGGUAAUUCUUUGUUGAAUAUGUACUCUGCUACUUGUCUUACAUUGGAUAAUGGUUCUGAUUGUGGUUUAGUUUAAAGGGUGUUUAGAACUAUGCAUAAAAGAAAUGUUGUUGCGUGGAUUACUAAUUUUUGAUGGUAUGUGAAAAGGAAGAGGUUUUCGGAAGCAGUGAGGUGUUUUGUUAUGAUGAUGAGAUUAGGUAUUAAGCCAAUUGUUGUUAGAUGUUUUUCCUGCUGUAUCAGAAAUAGGGGAUGUUAGAGUUGCUGAUUUGGUACAGAACGGACUGGAUAAAGAGGCUUUGAUGCUUGCAUAUGAGAUGCAAAAUCUUGGGGUUGCAAUUGAUGAUAUAACAAUUGCAUCCUGCUUUCUGCGGCAUCAAAUCUUAGGGACAGGGAAAUUGGUUAACAGACCCAUGCUUAUCUUCUGAGGCACAAUAGACAUGUAUGCCAAAUGUAAUAUGAUUAGGGAAGCACAAGCUAUAUUCCAGUCGAACUUCACAAAUGAUAAAGAUCAAGCCACGUGGAAUGCUAUGAUUACUGGAAACACUCAAAAUGGAUUAAUUAAACAAUCCUUUGUUGUCUUCAAGGAGAUGCUAGAGCAGAAUUUGAAGCCAAAUGCUGUGACGUUAGCAUCAAUCCUCCAUGCAGCCAAUCAGGAAGUAUAGCAAUAGGCUAGCAGCUACAUUGUUUGCAAUUCGCAAUUUGUUUGAGAACAGUGCUUAACUUGUUUCUGCUAUGGUAGACAUGUAAUCAAAAUCAGGAAUAAUUGAUUAUGAGUUUGGGAUAUGGUCUUCUUGGGAUGGGUAGGAAAGCUCUAACACUGUUCUACUCUUUGUGGCAGAAUGGUUUAGAACCAGAUGCUAUUACCUCUGUAGCUGUCCUGUAAACUUGCAGCUACACCGGAUUGGUUGAUACAGGCUUUAAAUAUUUGAGCUGAUGGGUGAAGAAUACGGGAUUCAGCCAUCAGCAGAACACUAUGCGUGUGUGGUUGACAUUUUAGGGAGAGUUUGAUGGUUGGAUGAAGCUCAUAAUUUUUCUGAACUGUUGAGUGUUGUGGAUAAUGUCUUAGGAAAAUGGGGAUCACUCCUUGCGGCCUGCAGAGUGCAUGUAAAUUUUGAAUUGGGGAAAAUUGUUUCCAGUAAGCUGCUUGAAUUAGAGGGGAGUGACGGAAUUUCUGGCCAUCAUGUUCUGCUUUCAAAUAUAUAUGCAGAGGAAGGAAACUGGCAGUGUGUAGAUAACGUCAGAAGAAGAAUGCGCGUAAUGGGAUUGUCAAAGGAGGUUGGGUGUAGUUGGAUUGAUACUUCUGGAUAUCCACUCUGUUUUGUAUCUAAAGAUAAGAAGCAUCCUCAGUACUUGAACUAAUAUAUGAUAUGUUGGGAUAUUAAACCAUCAAUAUGAAGGAUGCUGGCUAUAAGCUAUUAGUUCUCCCACUAUGUUGUUGUUCUCUCACUAUGUACCUUUGUAUUCAUGAUAUUUUUGGACAUGAUUUUGCUAGAGUUCGUUUGAUUGUAGUUUGUCAAUGACCAGCUGCCUUUGGAAACUCGAGAUCAAUCAAGAAUAUCCAUUGGUGGGAAACGAGGAGUCCCAGAUAGCAUAAGAAGGGUCUUAUCCAAGAUGACAACUUCUAUCAAGCUCUCUGAUUGCACAUUUAAAUUAGGGCAACUUCACAGUUGCAGCAUUUGGAGUUUACACAGCUACAUGCAUGUCUGAUAAAGAAAUGCACGGCAAGUUAUUUCGCUUAAUGCUAUGAUAGACACAUAUUCUAGGUGUAACCAUGUUCUACUCUUUACGGCAGAAUGCUUUAGAACCAGAUGCUGUUACCUUUGUAGCAGUCCUGUCUACUUGCAGCUACACCGGAUUGGUUGAUACAGGCCUUUAAAUAUUUGAGCUGAUGGGUGAAAAAUCUGGAUUCAGCCAUCAGCAGAGCGCUAUCCUUGUGUGGUUGACAUGUAGGGAGAGUUGGACGGUUGGAUGAAGCUCAUAAUUUUUCUGAACUGUUGGGUGUUGAGGGUAAUGUCUUGGGAAGAUGGGGAUCAUUCCUUGCAGCCUGCAGAGUGCAUAGAAACUUUGAUAUGGGGAAAAUUGUUUCCAGUAAGCUGCUUGAAUUAUAGGGGAGGGAUAAUUUCUGGUUGUCAUAUUCUGCUUUCAAAUAUAUUAUGCAGAGGAAGGAAACUGGCAGUCUGUCGAUAACGUCAGAAGAGGGAUUCACAAAGUGGGAUUGUCAAAGGAGGUUGUCUUUAGUUGGAUUGAUACUUCUGGAUAUCCGCACUGUUUUGUAUCUAAAGAUAGGAAGCAUCCUCAGUACUACAUGAUAUAUGACGUGUUGGGAUAUUUAACCAUCAAUAUGAAGGAUGCUGGCGCCUGGCUAUAAGACUAAACUUGAACUAAUAGAAGAGUGUAUCUAUGGGCUAGAAGAUUAAAAAGCUAUCACUUCUCCCACUAUGUUGUUGUUCUCCCACUAUUUACCUUUGUAUUCAUGAUAUUUUUUUGGACAGGAUUUUACUAGAGCUCAUAUGAUUGUGGUUAAUCAAUGACCAGCUCCUUUGUCGAGGCACUGUGUGAUAACAAGAACAGCAAAGCAGGAGGAUGCUGAAGCCAGUAGAACUUCCCAAGUUCCACACACCAAGGAUAUGAUUGGGUCUGCUUACGGAGGAUCACAAGCAGUGCCAAUCACUAGCAAUGAGAGCAUGUUUCCUUGAGAAAGCACCAACGUGGAGCAGGUGAUAGAAGUUGUUGGAGGAGAGUCGACAGACCAUAAUGCUGUUGUCAGUGUUGGGUCUGAUGUGAAUGUUGAUGCUGGAAGUUUCCUAUUACCCAGCAAACGAUCAGGUACUGCUGCUAGCGGUGGAAGUGGAACUUACAGUCAUCCUAUCGCUAGAAUUGGGAAUGAACUUGAAGCAUUGCUCACUGAACCCAUGGACGAAGAUAAUGAUAUCAGUUCCAUUUUUGAAGUUAGGAAAGCACCAACUUCUUAUCCUGUGCUGGUUGAUGCUGCUUUAAGCAGAAUACCCCGCUAUGCAGCUGCAGUGGCUGCUGCUGCUCAGUUACCUCCCUUUGACGAUGAAGGCAUUUUUGAUCCGGAUGACCUGUUCACAGACCAGAUGUUCUGAUUUGAUGGAGGUGAAGCUGUCAAUGUUGAUAUUAGUUGGUCACAACCAGAUAGUCUGAUACUGCACUUUUUGUUUUUCUUUUUUUGAAGACUUGUGCCAUUUUGUUAGACAGUAUUGCUCUUAUUCAUCUAUUUUUAAUCUGCUUUAAGGAGCCAGAUUUUCUGUAUCUUCAAACUCUUUUGAGAGAGUAAGUGGAUUUUAGUUGAAAUUUUUCAAAAUAAAAUGGUAGCAGUUUGAGUUCUUGCAA